AUUUAAGCAAGGGUAUACGGUGGAUGCCUCGACUUAGAAAGCCGAAGAAGGACGUAGCAGCCUGCGAAAAGCCUCGGGGAGGUGGCAAGCAACCUUUGAUCCGUGGAUGUCCGAAUGGGGAAACCUAUCGUUCAUGAAUAAUGAGCGAUGUCCAUUGCCUAGCAAUGGAUGGGAACCUGGGGAAUUGAAACAUCUUAGUACCCAGAGGAAAAGAAAUCGAAUGAGAUUCCCUUAGUAGUGGCGAACGAACGGGGAACAGUCCAAAUUUCGAAGAUGUGAUUAUUUGGUGACCCUUCACCUUUUUUUACACGGUUAGCCAAGCUGUGCCGGAAAGGGUGAGGGGAAGCUAAAUAAGAAACAGGUGCAAGCCUAAUGCAUCUUUGGAACGUAAUGAGGGAGUAACGUCUUUUUCUUGCAUUAAAAAGAGUAAGGUCAAAGAGAUUUAGUGACUGGAAAUUGACCCCGCACUAUUUAUAGUACGGGGGCAGUGACCAGGAACUUAGUCUUGAUGUUUAGUAAAAUCCCGUGGAAAAGGGAGCCAUAGAAGGUGACAGCCCUGUAUGCAAAAAACAUCUAGCCUUAUCGUUAUUUUUCUCGAGUAACAUGGGACCCGUGAAAUCCUGUGUGAAGGUAUCCUGACUAUAGGAUAAGACUAAAUACUUUCUAAGAUCGAUAGUGAACCAGUACCGUGAGGGAAAGGUGAAAAGCACCCCGGAAGGGGAAUGAAAUAGUAUCUGAAACCGUAUACCUACAAUAACUCGGAGCCCAAUUUAUGCCCGCAAGGGCGUAAACGGGUGACGGGGUUCCUAUUGAAGAAUGAGCCAACGAGUUUACUCAUUAUGUAUGGUUAAGUCCGACAGGACGGAGCCGUAGCGAAAGCGAGUCUUAACCGGCGUUGACUUAUGGUAUUCCAUAAGACUAAAUAUAAUGAGUGAGACCCGAAACCGGGUGAUCUAGCCAUGGCCAGGGUGAGUCCCGGGUAAAACCGGGAGGAGGCCCGAACACACCAGCCGUGCAACACUGGGUGAUGAGCUGUGGCUAGCGGAGAAAUUCCAAUCGAACUCGGCGAUAGCUGGUUCUCCCCGAAACAGUUUUAGGACUGGCCUGAAAAUUAAAUCCGUGGGGUAGAGCACUGGAUAGAAGAGGGUGGCGCAAGCCUACCUCCUCUAAACAAACUCCGAAUACGCGGACUGCCCUGACUUCGGUCAGGUAACAAAUUUUCAGAGUUAGACUAUGGGGGCUAAGCUCCAUCAGUCAAAAGGGAAACAGCCCAGAUCUUAAUCUAAGGUCCCUAAAUGUGCAUUAAGUGUCAAAGGAAGUGAGGCGACUGCGACAACCAGGAGGUUGGCUUAGAAGCAGCCAUCCUUUAAAGAAAGCGUAAUAGCUCACUGGUCAAGUUUCUUUGCGCCGAAAAUUUAUCGGGGCUAAAUGCACUACCGAAGAUAAGGGUUCCGACGUUUACGUCGGAGCGGUAGGGGAGCGUUCUCUAUUUAGUGAAGGAGAAGACGUGAGUCUCUCUGGAAGAUAGAGAAGUGAGAAUGUUGGCAUAAGUAGCAAAAAGUCUGAUGAAAAAUCAGACCACCGAAAACUCAAGGUUUCCUGGGCCACGAUGAUCGACCCAGGGUUAGGCGACCCUAACCUCGCGCCUUCUCGAACACAGAGUGUUGAUAAUCAAGCUGAGAAUCAAUCUGUGCUGGAGAAGGUGCGGGGGAUGGAUUGCAGGUUAAUAAUCCUGCCCUUACUUAUUUGUUGUUUAUUUCUGCGCAUCUUUGGCGGUUUAAGCGUAUUCUGGUUAUAUACGUGGCUGGCGUUAGUCGGCCCGAGGUGAAGUCUUCGGAUGGAACCAAGUUAAGUUGCCGGGGUGCCUAGAAAAGGAAAUAAACGUUAACGAAUAAGUAAUCCGUACCGCAAACCAACACAGGUGAGUGGGGUGAGAAUCCUAAGGUGUACGAGACAACCUCGGUUUAGGAACUCGGCAAUUCAGCGGCCGUAACUUAGGAAUAAGGCCUGUCCGAUUUAUGUCGGACCGCAGCAAAAGAUUCCAGGCGACUGUUUAACAAAAACACAGGUCCCUGCUAAACCGCAAGGUGAAGUAUAGGGGCUGACCCCUGGCCAGUGUCCGAAGGUCAAGAGGAUGGGUGAUCCCUUCAAUGCAAAUUGAAGGAUGAGCCUUGAAUCCAAGCCCGGAUGAACGCCGGCGGUAACUAUAACCGUCCUAAGGUAGCGAAAUUCCUUGUCAGGUAAGUUCUGACCCGCACGAAUGGGGUAACGGUCUGGAAACUCUCUCAACCGAGGACUCGGCGAAAUUUCACAAGUCGUGAAGAUGCGACUUACCCGCGGCAAGACGAAAAGACCCCGUGAAGCUUUACUACAGCUUGGUAUUGAGAUACGGGUCAUUCUGUUUAGAAUAGGUGGGAGACUUUGAUUCCCCGACGCCAGUUGGGGAGGAGUCGCAAUAUGAAAUACCACCCUGAGUGUUCUGUGUUUCUAACCCCGUCAUUUGACGGGGGACAGUGUUAGGUGGGUAGUUUAUCUGGGGCGGAUGCCUCCUAAAAGGUAACGGAGGCGCUUAAAGGUUGGCUUGGUCCGGAUGGAAAUCGGACCUAAAGUGUAAAGGCAUAAGCCAGCUUUACUGCAAGAGGGACAACUCGAGCAGUCGCGAAAGCGGAACUUAAUGAACCGACCACUCUACAUAGGAAGGUGGAAGAUCAACGGAUAAAAGCUACUCCGGGGAUAACAGGCUGAUCUCCCCCAAGAGUCCACAUCGACGGGGAGGUUUGGCACCUCGAUGUCGGCUCGUCGCAUCCUGGGGCUGGAGAAGGUCCCAAGGGUUUGGCUGUUCGCCAAUUAAAGCGGCACGCGAGCUGGGUUCAGAACGUCGUAAGACAGUUCGGUCUCCUAUCUGCCGUGGGCGCAUUGAGAUUUGAGGAGGCUCUUCCCUAGUACGAGAGGACCGGGAAGGACAAACCUCUAGUGUACCAGUUGUUCCACCAGGGGCAUUGCUGGGUAGCUACGUUUGGUUAGGAUAAGCGCUGAAAGCAUCUAAGUGCGAAGCCGUCUCCAAGAUAAGAUCUCUUAAGGUCCCGAGAGACUAUCGGGUUGAUAGGCUCCAAGUGGAAGUCCGGCAACGGAUUAAGCUGUAGGAGUACUAAUCACCUCAAA
RNAcentral lists this ribosomal RNA (3162 nucleotides) under Candidatus Jacksonbacteria bacterium RIFOXYA2_FULL_43_12. RNAcentral's name for it is "bacterial LSU rRNA". It matches the Rfam family "Bacterial large subunit ribosomal RNA". Lineage: Bacteria; Candidatus Jacksoniibacteriota. The record is from RNAcentral.